UACGUAGGGGGCAAGCGUUGUCCGGAUUUAUUGGGCGUAAAGAGCGUGUAGGCGGCCUGGUAGGUCAGCUGUGAAAACUCGAGGCUCAACCUCGAGACGCCGGUUGAAACCAUCAGGCUAGAGUCCGGAAGAGGAGAGUGGAAUUCCCGGUGUAGCGGUGAAAUGCGCAGAUAUCGGGAAGAACACCAAUUGCGAAGGCAGCUCGCUGGGACGUUACUGACGCUGAGGCGCGAAAGCGUGGGGAGCGAACAGG
RNAcentral lists this ribosomal RNA (253 nucleotides) under uncultured bacterium. Its description in RNAcentral is "partial 16S ribosomal RNA". It matches the Rfam family "Bacterial small subunit ribosomal RNA", at positions 524 to 776 of the family's 1533-position model. The record is from RNAcentral.